UCUCCGUUGGUGAACCAGCGGAGGGAUCAUUACCGAGUUCCAGCACCUCCCCAGCCUUGCGUACCGUAUCUUCGUCUGUUCUCGUUGCUUCCAGCAGGCGGGGGGGCCCACCCGGCCCCGCCCCCUGCCGGCGGCGGCGGGCCCUCUGAACCUGUCUAUCUCAACCACUGAAACCCGUCUGUGCAAAACAAAAAAUAAUCAAAACUUUCAACAACGGAUCUCUUGGUUCUG
Molecule: unclassified non-coding RNA, 231 nt
Filed under: plant metagenome
Description: partial contains small subunit ribosomal RNA, internal transcribed spacer 1, and 5.8S ribosomal RNA
Source: RNAcentral